This 432-nucleotide ribosomal RNA is filed under the name uncultured bacterium. RNAcentral describes it as "partial 16S ribosomal RNA". It matches the Rfam family "Bacterial small subunit ribosomal RNA", at positions 29 to 506 of the family's 1533-position model. The record is from RNAcentral.
AACGAACGCUGGCGGCAUGCCUAACACAUGCCAGUCGAACGAGACCUUCGGGUCUAGUGGCGCACGGGUGCGUAACGCGUGGGAACCUGCCCUUAGGUUCGGAAUAACUCCCCGAAAGGGGUGCUAAUACCGGAUAAUGUCUUCGGACCAAAGAUUUAUCGCCUUUGGAUGGGCCCGCGUUGGAUUAGCUAGUUGGUAGGGUAAAAGCCUACCAAGGCGACGAUCCAUAGCUGGUCUGAGAGGAUGAUCAGCCACACUGGGACUGAGACACGGCCCAGACCCCUCCGGAUGGGGGCAGGGGGGAAGAUUGAACAAGGGGCGAAGGCCUAAUCCAUCAAUGCCGCGUAAGUAUGGAAGGCCUUAGGGUUGAAAAGCUCUUUUACCCGGGAUGGUAAGAACGGUACCGGGGAAAAAGGCUCCGGCUAACUCCGU